Molecule: ribosomal RNA, 253 nt
Filed under: uncultured bacterium
Lineage: Bacteria
Description: partial 16S ribosomal RNA
Rfam family: Bacterial small subunit ribosomal RNA
Source: RNAcentral
UACGGGGGGUGCAAGCGUUGUUCGGAAUUACUGGGCGUAAAGGGCUCGUAGGUGGCCAACUAAGUCAGACGUGAAAUCCCUCGGCUUAACCGGGGAACUGCGUCUGAUACUGGAUGGCUUGAGAUUGGGAGAGGGAUGCGGAAUUCCAGGUGUAGCGGUGAAAUGCGUAGAUAUCUGGAGGAACACCGGUGGCGAAGGCGGCGUCCUGGACCAACACUGACACUGAUGAGCGAAAGCCAGGGGAGCAAACGGG